UACGUAGGGUGCGAGCGUUAAUCGGAAUUACUGGGCGUAAAGCGUGCGCAGGCGGCUUUGCAAGACAGAUGUGAAAUCCCCGGGCUCAACCUGGGAACUGCAUUUGUGACUGCAAGGCUGGAGUGCGGCAGAGGGGGAUGGAAUUCCGCGUGUAGCAGUGAAAUGCGUAGAUAUGCGGAGGAACACCGAUGGCGAAGGCAGUCCCCUGGGCCUGCACUGACGCUCAUGCACGAAAGCGUGGGGAGCAAACAGG
RNAcentral lists this ribosomal RNA (253 nucleotides) under uncultured bacterium. RNAcentral describes it as "partial 16S ribosomal RNA". It matches the Rfam family "Bacterial small subunit ribosomal RNA", at positions 524 to 776 of the family's 1533-position model. The record is from RNAcentral.